This 213-nucleotide ribosomal RNA is filed under the name uncultured Staphylococcus sp. Its description in RNAcentral is "partial 16S ribosomal RNA". It matches the Rfam family "Bacterial small subunit ribosomal RNA", at positions 127 to 334 of the family's 1533-position model. The record is from RNAcentral. Lineage: Bacteria; Bacillati; Bacillota; Bacilli; Caryophanales; Staphylococcaceae.
UACCUAUAAGACUGGGAUAACUUCGGGAAACCGGAGCUAAUACCGGAUAAUAUUUUGAACCGCAUGGUUCAAAAGUGAAAGACGGUCUUGCUGUCACUUAUAGAUGGAUCCGCGCUGCAUUAGCUAGUUGGUAAGGUAACGGCUUACCAAGGCAACGAUGCAUAGCCGACCUGAGAGGGUGAUCGGCCACACUGGAACUGAGACACGGUCCAG